UCGAGAAUCUUCCGCAAUGGGCGAAAGCCUGACGGAGCGACGCCGCGUGUGUGAUGAAGGCCUUCGGGUUGUAAAGCACUGUCAGGGGGGAACAAACACUGAGUGAUCCCCAGAGGAAGCACGGGGUAACAUCGUGCCAGCAGCCGCGGUAAGACGAACCGUGCGAACGUUGUUCGGAAUCACUGGGCUUAAAGGGUGCGUAGGCGGUUGAUCAAGUCAGAGGUGAAAGCUUGCAGCUCAACUGUAAAAGGGCCUUUGAAACUGAUUGACUCGAGGGAGAUAGGGGCAGGUGGAACUUCCAGUGGAGCGGUGAAAUGUGUUGAUAUUGGAAGGAACGCCGGUGGCGAAAGCGACCUGCUGGAUCUCUUCUGACGCUGAGGCACGAAAGCAAGGGGAGCAAACGGGAUUAGAUACCCGCGUAGUCC
RNAcentral lists this ribosomal RNA (425 nucleotides) under uncultured prokaryote. Its description in RNAcentral is "bacterial SSU rRNA". It matches the Rfam family "Bacterial small subunit ribosomal RNA", at positions 355 to 796 of the family's 1533-position model. The record is from RNAcentral.